Molecule: long non-coding RNA, 414 nt
Filed under: Manihot esculenta (cassava)
Lineage: Eukaryota; Viridiplantae; Streptophyta; Magnoliopsida; Malpighiales; Euphorbiaceae
Description: long non-coding RNA (MESC_LNC007145)
Source: RNAcentral
GGUCAUCAAUAUAUUUUUCACCAUGGCAAGCUCAAAGAUUCAAUUCAAAAGGCAAUUCUCAAACAUGAAUAUAACUCACUGCAAUUGAUUCAACAUAAGUUUAAAGAGUCAUCACAUCAAUGGGGUCAUGGAAAGAAAAACUCAUCCAACAUAGUUCAUCAGUUUGAGUAGAGCAAAACAAAAAGAAGAAGAAGGUUGUGGUUGUGUGUGUUUUAUUGAAAGCAAAAAUAACAAAAAUGAAAAAAUUUUUCCUAAUGCAAGCAAACUAAAGAUUAAAGCAAAAAUAAACUUAAAAGUAAAAAUUCAGAGAUAUGCACCCCCACACCUAAAUCAUGCAUUGUCCUCAAUGUAUAAGAAACAUAAAAGAACAAAGGAAACUGAGUACUCCCCUGGGUGUGGUGUGCAUGGUGCGAU